This 21-nucleotide small RNA is filed under the name Arabidopsis thaliana (thale cress). RNAcentral's name for it is "ATSL012370". The record is from RNAcentral. Lineage: Eukaryota; Viridiplantae; Streptophyta; Magnoliopsida; Brassicales; Brassicaceae.
CAGACAAGGUUAUACAUUCAU